Molecule: ribosomal RNA, 464 nt
Filed under: Vreelandella stevensii
Lineage: Bacteria; Pseudomonadati; Pseudomonadota; Gammaproteobacteria; Oceanospirillales; Halomonadaceae
Description: partial 16S ribosomal RNA
Rfam family: Bacterial small subunit ribosomal RNA
Source: RNAcentral
CCUACGGGGGGCUGCAGUGGGGAAUAUUGGACAAUGGGGGGAACCCUGAUCCAGCCAUGCCGCGUGUGUGAAGAAGGCCCUCGGGUUGUAAAGCACUUUCAGUGAGGAAGAACGCCUGGUGGUUAAUACCCAUCAGGAAAGACAUCACUCACAGAAGAAGCACCGGCUAACUCCGUGCCAGCAGCCGCGGUAAUACGGAGGGUGCGAGCGUUAAUCGGAAUUACUGGGCGUAAAGCGCGCGUAGGUGGCUUGAUAAGCCGGUUGUGAAGCCCCGGGCUCAACCUGGGAACGGCAUCCGGAACUGUCAAGCUAGAGUGCAGGAGAGGAAGGUAGAAUUCCCGGUGUAGCGGUGAAAUGCGUAGAGAUCGGGAGGAAUACCAGUGGCGAAGGCGGCCUUCUGGACUGACACUGACACUGAGGUGCGAAAGCGUGGGUAGCAAACAGGAUUAGAUACCCUUGUAGUC